Molecule: long non-coding RNA, 436 nt
Organism: Poecile atricapillus (Black-capped chickadee)
Lineage: Eukaryota; Metazoa; Chordata; Aves; Passeriformes; Paridae
Exons: 3
Source: RefSeq, a predicted model, not a curated record
AAUAAUAUCCACAUAUUUGUUACUAUGGCCUAAAGAAAUUACUCACGUGAGACGCUUACGGCCGAGGUCACGUGGGGUUCAAAGCAGAAGUAACUGCCUAGCGAAGAACAUGGAAACUCAUUAGCUGCAGAGACGAGCAGACGGCCCAAAGAGCAGAAGAGCGAGCACGCCGAUGUGAACCGUAUCGAGACCGCAGUUGACGGCUGAACGCCUUUGAUCCCGCAUGACAGAGCGAUGAACUUUGGGUUUCGUGUGAAAGAGUAGGAAAAUCGAUAUUGUAAGGCCUCAUUUGUUAAAGCGUGGUGUGAACUGUGUCAAGAUUCAGAAACCUGCAUGAGAGAUAAAGUCCUUGAAGAUGAAGGUGAAUCAGAGAGAUCAGAGAUGUUAAGAGAGACACCGGGGUUUCUGAUAAGCCCCCGGAAGGGAUAAGGCGAGG